This is a long non-coding RNA of Musa acuminata AAA Group (dessert banana), 746 nucleotides long. RefSeq lists it as uncharacterized. The record is from RefSeq and is a predicted model, not a curated record. Lineage: Eukaryota; Viridiplantae; Streptophyta; Magnoliopsida; Zingiberales; Musaceae. The transcript has 2 exons.
CCUACCACUCCCUUCACAUAGUCGCCGUCCCCUGCCAGGAAUGUUACGAAAGCUCUCUUCUUCACUUGGCCUCCAAACGAUUCUGCAAGAGCACCGGAGGCCAUGGAAACAGAGACUAUGGAAGAUGACUUCCCGUUUGUUGACAAAUAGUGUUUCGUUGGCAACUGGAAUGAACGGCUGUCGAUCAUUCAAAAUGUGGUGGUUCUGCAGAGUGGAACGACUUGUGGUCAAUCAUGUUCUGUGGUAGAGGUGGAAUUCGAGUUUUUCUGUGAAGCAGACUUGGAAGAAAGUUCCAGCAAUUCUAGGAAUUAACACGGUGCAUUUCUGUGCUCUCUUAUUUCUUUCUUUCAAUUUUGUACUGCAAGUUCAUCCCUGUCAAGUAACAGCACCAGAAGAAGGCCCAGCGACCACGGAACCCUUGGAAUUUCUAUCCGUUCCGGAGGAAAGGCCACCGCGGGCCGGUGUCCCGCGCCUCGGCCUCGUGGCAGAAGCACGAUCGCGACACUGUGGUCCAUCCCAAGUGCUCGACUGUUCCAAUGGUAGGGAGAGGCGGCGCGGGCCGGUGCUUCUCUGUGAUUGGUGAUCCCCAAGGCAGACUCAAACCCAGGCGGUGAAUUUGGAAUCUUUUCUAGUCCGAUCUGAGGAAUAUUAUUUUCGGAAGGCAAUUUUUGCCCAAUGAUUUGUUCCCCUUAAUUUUCUUCUCUGCUUAUGCAAUUUAAACAUUCAUAUGAUUUGUUUGUGUUUUA